RNAcentral lists this ribosomal RNA (253 nucleotides) under uncultured bacterium. RNAcentral describes it as "partial 16S ribosomal RNA". It matches the Rfam family "Bacterial small subunit ribosomal RNA", at positions 524 to 776 of the family's 1533-position model. The record is from RNAcentral.
UACAGAGGGGGCCAGCGUUGUUCGGAAUUAUUGGGCGUAAAGGGCGCGUAGGCGGCUACACAAGUCAGACGUGAAAUCCCUCGGCUCAACCGGGGAACUGCGUCUGAUACUGUGCGGCUUGAGUCCUGGAGAGGGUAGUGGAAUUCCCAGUGUAGCGGUGAAAUGCGUAGAUACUGGGAGGAACAUCGGUGGCGAAGGCGGCUACCUGGACAGUGACUGACGCUGAGGCGCGAAAGCUAGGGGAGCAAACAGG